Molecule: long non-coding RNA, 200 nt
Filed under: Gossypium barbadense (sea-island cotton)
Lineage: Eukaryota; Viridiplantae; Streptophyta; Magnoliopsida; Malvales; Malvaceae
Description: long non-coding RNA (GBAR_LNC012353)
Source: RNAcentral
CUAUACAUAGCCUCAUAGAGCCAUCUUUCUUCUUUACAAAUAAUAUCGGAGCACCCUAAAGCCAGAAACUCAGUCUUGUAAAUCCUUUAUCCGUUAGUUCUUGCAACUGUGCUUUUAACUCUUUCAGCUCGUUUGGUGUCAUCCUAUACGGAGCAAUAGAAACAGGAGCUGUCCAGGCACCAGUUCAAUACCAAACUCUA